AGUGAACGCUGGCGGUAGGCCUAACACAUGCAAGUCGAACGGCAGCACAGUAAGAGCUUGCUCUUACGGGUGGCGAGUGGCGGACGGGUGAGGAAUACAUCGGAAUCUACUUUUUCGUGGGGGAUAACGUAGGGAAACUUACGCUAAUACCGCAUACGACCUACGGGUGAAAGCAGGGGAUCUUCGGACCUUGCGCGAUUCAAUGAGCCGAUGUCGGAUUAGCUAGUUGGCGGGGUAAAGGCCCACCAAGGCGACGAUCCGUAGCUGGUCUGAGAGGAUGAUCAGCCACACUGGAACUGAGACACGGUCCAGACUCCUACGGGAGGCAGCAGUGGGGAAUAUUGGGCAAUGGGCGAAAGCCUGAUCCAGCCAUACCGCGUGGGUGAAGAAGGCCUUCGGGUUGUAAAGCCCUGUUGUUGGGAAAGAAAAGCAGCAGGUUAAUACCCCGCUGUUCUGACGGUACCCAAAGAAUAAGCACCGGCUAACUUCGUG
This 492-nucleotide ribosomal RNA is filed under the name uncultured bacterium. RNAcentral's name for it is "partial 16S ribosomal RNA". It matches the Rfam family "Bacterial small subunit ribosomal RNA", at positions 29 to 507 of the family's 1533-position model. The record is from RNAcentral.